GCUUACGGCCAUACCACCCUGUCUUCACCCAAUCUCGUCUGAUCUCUGAAGCUAAGCUGGGUUGGGCCUGGUUAGUACUUGGAUGGGAGACUGCCUGGGAACACCACGUGCUGUAAACU
RNAcentral lists this ribosomal RNA (119 nucleotides) under Sinocyclocheilus rhinocerous. The record is from RNAcentral. Lineage: Eukaryota; Metazoa; Chordata; Actinopteri; Cypriniformes; Cyprinidae.